AGAGUUUGAUCAUGGCUCAGAAUGAACGUUGGCGGCGUGGAUUAGGCAUGCAAGUCGUACGAGAAUCGUAGCAAUACGAGGAAAGUGGCGAAAGGGAGAGGAUUACGUGGGAAUCUACCCUCAGACCUGGGAUAGCGGCGGGAAACUGCCGGUAAUACCAGAUAAUGUCUUUGGACCAAAGGUGUGAUUCCGUCUGGGGAUGAGCCCACGUCCUAUUAGCUUGUUGGUGGGGUAAUGGCCUACCAAGGCAAUGAUGGGUAGCGGGUGUGAGAGCACGACCCGCCUCACUGGGACUGAGAUACUGCCCAGACACCUACGGGUGGCUGCAGUCGAGAAUCUUCGGCAAUGGGCGAAAGCCUGACCGAGCGACGCCGCGUGCGGGAUUGAAGGCCUUCGGGUUGUAAACCGCUGUCGUAGGGGAGCAAGAGAAGAGGGUUCUCCCUCUGAUUUGAGCGAUCCUAGGAGGAAGGACGGGCUAAGUUCGUGCCAGCAGCCGCGGUAAGACGAACCGUCCGAACGUUAUUCGGUAUCACUGGGCUUAAAGAGUUCGUAGGCGGCUCCGUAGGUGAGGUGUGAAAUCCCUCGGCUCAACCGAGGAAUUGCGCUUCAAACCGUGGAGCUAGAGGAAGAUAGGGGUGAGCGGAACAGAUGGUGGAGCGGUGAAAUGCGUUGAUAUCAUCUGGAACACCGGUGGCGAAAGCGGCUCGCUGGAUCUUUUCUGACGCUGAGGAACGAAAGCUAGGGGAGCGAACGGGAUUAGAUACCCCGGUAGUCCUAGCCGUAAACGAUGAGCACUAGUCUGUGGGGACCCUCACAUCCUCUCGGACGUAGCGAAAGUGUUAAGUGCUC
RNAcentral lists this ribosomal RNA (849 nucleotides) under uncultured bacterium. RNAcentral's name for it is "bacterial SSU rRNA". It matches the Rfam family "Bacterial small subunit ribosomal RNA", at positions 8 to 869 of the family's 1533-position model. The record is from RNAcentral.